AGAAGGGGCAUGACCUCGCCCAAGUGGGCGUGGCCGAGCGACACGGACCCGUUUUCGGUAUUUUGGGGGCGUGCCCAGCGCUCCCCGAGCAGCUGGGCAGCCCCCUGCUCCCCUCCCAGCAUUGAAUAGAUGCCGUGCGCACAGCAUCUAUUCAGUGAUCACCGGCUGCUUUGCAGAGCAAAGCAGCGGGUGAUCAAAGCCUCACCCAACUGCCCCCCCGCCCGCGGGACACUGCAACCCACGAGAGGGACAGCGGGACAGUGUCCGAAUAGCGGGACUGUCCCGCUGAAAUCGGGACAGUUUGGAGCUGGAGCCUCAUAAACGUGUCAGCAGUUCAAUUUGAUGGAAAUGCACCUGCAAUGGCCCUGCAUAAAUUACCACUCAACACAGUUACUGUAAAACAGAAACUUUCAGGACCUCACAAGUUUUGUCUUUUCAUGUGUCUAUAAUAGAAACCUCAUAGGCAGCAAUCUGUGACAGCCUAUGAGAAAGCAGUAUUGCAGGUUUGAAGUUUUCUACAGACCUCGUCAUAAUAUUUUAGUGAACACCUUUAGAAGAAAAUUAAACCGAUUUAAAAGUGUUGUAAGAGAUUCCCAUAUGGAGCUCCUAUCAGCGAUGUUUGCCAAUUGGUGGCUUGGCAUCUGCAGAACGGGAAUCUGGCCAGAGAUGUGUGGCCCACACAACAGUUAUAUUAGACAUAAAAACAUACAGAACUAAA
Pseudophryne corroboree (corroboree frog) is the source of this 718-nucleotide long non-coding RNA. RefSeq lists it as uncharacterized. The transcript has 4 exons. The record is from RefSeq and is a predicted model, not a curated record. Lineage: Eukaryota; Metazoa; Chordata; Amphibia; Anura; Myobatrachidae.